RNAcentral lists this ribosomal RNA (255 nucleotides) under uncultured Gardnerella sp. RNAcentral's name for it is "partial 16S ribosomal RNA". It matches the Rfam family "Bacterial small subunit ribosomal RNA", at positions 99 to 355 of the family's 1533-position model. The record is from RNAcentral. Lineage: Bacteria; Bacillati; Actinomycetota; Actinomycetes; Bifidobacteriales; Bifidobacteriaceae.
CGAACGGGUGAGUAAUGCGUGACCAACUGCCCCAUGCUCCAGAAUAGCUCUUGGAAACGGGUGGUAAUGCUGGAUGCUCCAACUUGACGCAUGUCUUGUUGGGAAAGUGUUUAGUGGCAUGGGAUGGGGUCGCGUCCUAUCAGCUUGUAGGGCGGGGUAAUGGCCCACCUAGGCUUCACGGGUAGCCGGCCUGAGAGGGCGGACGGCCACAUUGGGACUGAGAUACGGCCCAGACUCCUACGGGAGGCAGCAGUC